Molecule: long non-coding RNA, 5166 nt
Filed under: Olea europaea subsp. europaea
Lineage: Eukaryota; Viridiplantae; Streptophyta; Magnoliopsida; Lamiales; Oleaceae
Source: RNAcentral
GUUUUUAUUUGCAUAGUCAUUGCAUUCAUCUCUCUUGUCUCUUGCUUUCUGUCUUACAAAAAAAGAAGAAGAUAACAAUGGCUGUUGUCGAAGUUUUUGUUGGUGCAAUUCUCACUGUUUUGCUUGAGAAGCUGGCCUCUGGUGAGCUGCUGAAAUUUCUGCGUCGUGUAGGAAUUGAUGCCCAGCUGGAAGAAUGGCGUACAACUUUGUCGAUGAUCCAGGCCGUGCUUACUGAUGCUGAAAACAAGCAAAUAGGAAACGUAGCUGUGAAACAGUGGCUGACCGAUCUGGAAGAUUUGGCUUACGAUCUUGAAGACUUAGUGGAUGAGUUGAAUACCGAAGCUCUGCAGCGCAAAUUAAAAGAAAAUAAAGGCAGCACCAGCAAGGUAAGAAAGUUCAUCCCAAACUGUUGUACUAAUCUUUCUUACAGUGAUUUCAUGUUUGAUCGCGGGAUUGCUUCCAAGUUAAAAGAGAUUAGUGGCCGAUUGGAAGCUCUAUCCAAAAAGAUAAAAAUUUUCAGAUUAGUGGAGAAUGUGAGAGGGAGGUCUUACGAAAGAUUGCCAACAACUUCGCUCGUGGUAGAAUCGGAAGUUUAUGGAAGAGAGAAGGACAAAGAGGAAAUACUCAAAAUUUUACUUGGUGUUAAAUCAGAUGAUAGUCAAAUAUCUGUGAUUCCAAUUGUGGGCAUGGGAGGUGUCGGCAAAACUACUCUUGUCCAACUUGUGUAUAAUGAUGAAAUAUUGAAGGAUAAGUUUGAUCUGAAGGCAUGGGCUUGCGUGUCAGAUGAAUUUGACGCUGUUGAAGUAACGAAAAACAUUCUGGAGGCAGUUUCUUCUGGUGGAAAGUGUGAUUCUGAAAAUUUUGACAUGCUUCAGGUCAAACUAAAGGAAAGCCUUUCAAACAAGAAAUUUAUGAUAGUUUUGGAUGAUAUUUGGAAUGAAGAUUAUGUAAAAUGGGACAUCCUACGCCGUCCUUUUCUUGCUGGAAAACCUGGAAGCAUAAUCAUCAUUACCACUCGACAAGAAAGGGUGGCCAAAAUCAUGUCCGGAAUGCCAGCAUACCAUCUGAAUUUGUUGUCAGAGGGCGAUGCUUUAUCAUUGUUAGCUCAACAUGUAUUUGGAGUUAAAACUUUUGACGCAUAUCCAGAAUUAAUAGAGAUUGGUAAAUCUAUUGUAAAAAGAUGUAAGAACUUGCCCCUGGCAGUCAAGGCCCUUGGGGGGCUUCUUCGAAGGACAGUAGGUCCGAAAGGAUGGGAAGAGGUGUUGAAAAGUGAGAUCUGGAUGGCUGAAGAAAAGGGUGAAAUUCUUCCGGCUCUAAAACUGAGUUAUCACUAUCUUCCUCCACAAUUGAAAAGAUGCUUUGCUUACUGUGCGCUCUUCCCCAAGGACUAUGAAUUUGAAAAGUUCCAUCUGGUUUACCUUUGGAUGGCUGAAGGUCUUUUGCAGGAAUCAAUGAAAGAUAUGUCUAUUGAAGAAGUAGGCAGUCAAUAUUUUGGUGAACUGCUGGAUGGAUCAUUCUUCCAACAAUCAAGUGCCAAUGCUUCAUGCUUUGUGAUGCACGACCUCUUUAACGAUCUAGCUAUGUCUGUUGCUGGCGAUAAAUGUUUGAGGAUGGAUGAUGCACUGCAGGAAAAUCUUCCUGGUAAGGCUUCUGUCCGUCACUUGUCAUUCAAGCGCAGUUACUAUGAAACUUACCCUAGAUUUAACUUUCUCGACAAAGUUCCAAAAUUGAGAACAUUUUUGCCACUACCGGUUGGGGAGUUUCAUUGCAACUUAUCCCAAAGAAUUUUGCUUCAACUAUUCGCAAAUUCAUGCCGCUUAAGAUUUCUGUCCUUGAAUGGUUAUGAGAUAUACGAGUUGCCAGAUUCUAUCGGUGAUUUAAGACAGUUACGGUACCUAGGCUUAGCUCGAACUCCACUGAAGUGGUUGCCUAAAUCUGUGUGCACUCUUAUCAACUUACAAGUGUUGAUUCUAAGUGGUUGUUGGAGACUUACCAAAUUACCCACAAGCAUGGAAAAUCUUAUUAAUCUUCGGCAUCUGGACAUUUCUGAUACUAGUGAAUUGCAUGAGAUGCCACGGGAAAUUUCUCAACUAACAAGUUUGCGAACGUUAACUAAGAUGACUGCAAGUAAAAAUAAUGGAAUGAGGUUAAAGGAGUUGGGAAAUCUAUCAUUUCUACAAGGUGAUAUUUCUAUUGAGGAAUUGCAAAAUGUUGUGUAUGUUCAAGAAGCAAAGGAUGCAAGGCUAAUGGAUAAGACGAGCCUCAACAAAAUAAGGUUGGCAUGGAGCAAAGACUUUGAUGAUUCUCGAAAUAAGAUUUUAGAAUUGGAUGUGCUUAAUGCAUUAAAGCCCCAUAAAAAUUUAUCAACACUUGAAAUCAUGUACUAUGGGGGUGAGAAUUUCUCUAAUUGGAUUGGAGAUUCAGCAUUUUCUAAGUUAGCAAAGAUAAGCUUCAAAUUUUGUAAAAAUUGCACGAGUUUGCCACCAUUAGGGCAACUACCUUCUCUAAGAGACUUGAGCAUUCGAGGCACUGAUCAAGUAAAAGUGAUUGGAAAAGAAUUUUAUGGAAAUAGAGGCCAUGGAGAAUUACCUUUUCCAUCACUCACUAGUCUGACUUUUGCGGACAUGCCUAACUGGGAGGAAUGGCGUGGAAUAAAAGAUGUUAUCGAACUUCCUCGGCUACACAAACUGAACAUAAGAAGUUGUUCAAAAUUGGUCAGGCUUCCAGAUCUCUUACUGCCAUCCCUUCGUGAAUUAGAAGCUAUAGACUGUAAUAAGGUGGUGCUACAUCAUAUGCAGAAAUUGGAAUCUUUAACUCGAAUACAAUUGACGAACAUUUGUGAAUUAACUUCGGUUAUCAAAGCAUUUGACCAAUUUCCAUCUACGCUUGAAAGAUUGAGAGUAUCAGGAUGUGUGGACCUUGCGACUCUAUUGCCAAGUGAUGAUACCGCACAAAACCUUGUCAGCCUAUGGGAAGUGUAUGUUGAAAGUUGUCCUCGACUAUUGUCCCUUCAAGAGAUUGAUUUUCUUCCUGGUCUUAGGAGUCUUAAAAUAACAAAUUGUGGCGCUUUGGAGUUGUUGUCUAAUAAAAUAUCUUUUCUUGAGAAGUUGGAUAUCAAACACUGUCCAUCAUUAAAGACGGUGAUGAAGCUACAGGAUUGCAGCACCUCGCUCAAUUAUCUGUCUAUUUAUAGUUGGGUGAAUUUGAAUUUGACAAAUUUACUGGGCUCGGGCCACGAUUACACAAGUCUCACUUCAAUAUCCUUAUGGUGUUGUGAUGGUCUAGAGUCAUUUCCCCAUGGAGGCUUGCCCACACCAAAUUUAAGUCGUUUAUCUAUAGGGGGAUGUCGACAUCUCAAAUCUCUACCCGAUCAAAUGAAUCUACUUUCGGCCCUUUUAGACCUGUGGGUAUACAACUGUGCUUCAUUAAUGGAACUCUUUCCCAAACAGAAUAUUCCCCCAAAUCUGUCUCACCUUAAUAUCUCAUAUUGCCAGAAACUACGGCCCCUGGGAGAAUGGGGCCUACACACACUCACCUCUCUUAGUUCCUUUACAUUUAGUGAAUGUCCAGAGCUGGUUUCCCUCACUAACAAUGCUGACGAAGAACACUGUGUGCUUCCUCCAUCUCUAACUGAGUUGUCGUUGUACUACAUGCCGAAUCUGGAAACCCUAUCAAACGGCUUACAAAGUCUCACCUCUCUUCAACAUAUAUAUAUCUACGACUGCCCAAAGCUUGUGGCGUUGCCUUUGGAAGGCCAGCUUCAAAAGCUUUUGAGCCUUAUCAUUAAAGGCUGCCCACGUCUUCAGAAACGGUGUUUGAAGAACAAAGGAGACUACUGGCCCAUCAUUGCUGACAUUCCCGAAGUCGAAAUUGAUUUACGUUCCAUCUACGAUCCAUGUCCAUGAAUUCAGUUACAUGAGGUAAUAGAUUUAAUUUGAUACCUAUGAAUCUCAACGUCAUUUCAUGCUGAACACAUUUCGACAUUUCUGUCAAUUUUGUUUUCAAAUCAGAAUGUGAAUUUUCUGCAGCAAACAAGUGUUCAUGCUACUCUGUAUCUUAUAUUUGUGCUUCUGCUCUGCAGUAUGAAUCAAUAUGAGAGCUGGAUUUACCAACAAUCGAGUAACUAAUUGGCUAUGGCACUAAAAUCAGCCUCUCUUCUCCCCUUGUAUGUGUUCUAUUAAGAGUAAAAUUCUAUCAAAUAGACAAAUUGGAGUGAUAGUUGUUUGUUCAAUUAAUUACCUUCAACUUGGAUAGAAUAUUUGAUUAAGUUAUUAAUAUUUUGCUUCAAUCUGCUUUAGCAAAUUGGAAAUGGAUUGAUACAACUUACUGUAUGUUUAUGCAUUUUUGAAUUUUCAUGUUUACUAUAUGCUUUAACAAACUGGAAAUGGGUGUGCGUUUUUCAAACCUUUUUUGUAGAGUGGACGUUCUUACACUAUUUGAAUGAAACAAAUAAAAAAUUCAUUGUUUUGGUGUAGGCAUUUUCUCAUUACUUGUAAGAACGCAAGAUGGAAUGAAGGUGCCUCUUCUAUGAGGCCUUCAAGUAAGUCUCUUUUUCGAUUUACUUUCUGCAUUUGCAUUUAAGUGUUUGUGUAAAUACCAUAGUGAAAUUAUAUGGUAGGAUCUGUGACUGAAGCUAUGUUCAGACAUAUAACUUUUCUUGCCUUUAUUAUUUCACGAUUUUAGUAAUAUUUUCUGAUUAUUUCCCGGGUUGCAUAGUAAAAUUGAAUUAUUUUAUCAAAAGAUGGAUUUUUAUCAUCUCUUAGCUUCUCUAUUUUUUAUUUUUUUUAAAUAUCUUUAUGGAAUUGUUGUAAUAGUAUUACCUCUUUAUGAUCAUUUGAUUGUUGGAAGAUCAUACAAGGAAUUUCGGGACAAAUGAUUUUUUGUGAAAAAAAAGUUUUGUCUGAGUAGGAAAAGUAUAUCCAUCCGUGUGCGUUUAGAUCUGUUAUUCAUAUUGAUAGAUUAUAUUCCAUAUGUGGAUGCACAUUGCAUAUAGAACAUAUACUCACCUUGGGUUGUUAGGUACCUGUUGUAGCUUUGCACAUCUGCUCUCCGUAAUGUUUAUUGUUGCAACGUUCAUAUGAUCAGAUGGUUAUUGAUGGUGUUAAAUGUUACUCUAAUUGAUUGCUGAAAUUGAUAGGGUUGGGAUGUGACACUGAAUUUCUCCAA